This 253-nucleotide ribosomal RNA is filed under the name uncultured bacterium. RNAcentral describes it as "partial 16S ribosomal RNA". It matches the Rfam family "Bacterial small subunit ribosomal RNA", at positions 524 to 776 of the family's 1533-position model. The record is from RNAcentral.
UACGUGGGGGGCAAGCGUUGUUCGGAAUUACUGGGCGUAAAGGGCUCGUAGGUGGCCAACUAAGUCAGACGUGAAAUCCCUCGGCUUAACCGGGGAACUGCGUCUGAUACUGGAUGGCUAGAGUUUGGAAGAGGGAUGCGGAAUUCCAGGUGUAGCGGUGAAAUGCGUAGAUAUCUGGAGGAACACCGGUGGCGAAGGCGGCAUCCUGGACCAACACUGACGCUGAGGAGCGAAAGCCAGGGGAGCAAACGGG